UCAGGACGAACGCUGGCGGCGUGCCUAAUACAUGCAAGUCGAACGGUCUUUUCUAUGGAAGCUUGCUUCCACUGAGAAGAUAGUGGCGAACGGGUGAGUAACACGUGGGUAACCUGCCCAUAAGAGGGGGGAUAACAUCCGGAAACGGGUGCUAAUACCGCAUAGUUUUCUUGAUCGCAUGAUCGGGAAAGGAAAGACGGCCUUUGUGCUGUCGCUUAUGGAUGGACCCGCGGCGUAUUAGUUAGUUGGUGAGGUAACGGCUCACCAAGACGAUGAUACGUAGCCGACCUGAGAGGGUGAUCGGCCACAUUGGGACUGAGACACGGCCCAAACUCCUACGGGAGGCAGCAGUAGGGAAUCUUCCGCAAUGGACGAAAGUCUGACGGAGCAACGCCGCGUGAGUGAAAGAAGGUUUUCGGAUCGUAAAACUCUGUUGUCAGAGAAGAACAAGUUGGAGAGUAACUGCUCCAGCCUUGACGGUAUCUGACCAGAAAGCCACGGCUAACUACGUGCCAGCCGCCGC
Molecule: ribosomal RNA, 523 nt
Filed under: uncultured bacterium
Lineage: Bacteria
Description: bacterial SSU rRNA
Rfam family: Bacterial small subunit ribosomal RNA
Source: RNAcentral